This 253-nucleotide ribosomal RNA is filed under the name uncultured bacterium. RNAcentral's name for it is "partial 16S ribosomal RNA". It matches the Rfam family "Bacterial small subunit ribosomal RNA", at positions 524 to 776 of the family's 1533-position model. The record is from RNAcentral.
UACGUAGGGAGCUAGCGUUGUCCGGAAUCAUUGGGCGUAAAGCGCGCGUAGGCGGCCCGGUAAGUCCGCUGUGAAAGUCAAAGGCUCAACCUUUGAAUGUCAGCGGAUACUGCCGGGCUAGAGUCCGGAAGAGGCAAGUGGAACUCCUGGUGUAGCGGUGGAAUGCGCAGAUAUCAGGAAGAACACCAACGGCGAAGGCAGCUCGCUGGGACGGAACUGACGCUAAGGCGCGAAAGCGUGGGGAGCGAACAGG